AACACCAAACACCUCUGUCUCUGCCGUGAGCACGCCGCUGGCCGCGGAGGCGAUGGUGCUUCACGGAGGGAUUCCCCCCUUCUCUCUCUCUCUCUUGCCCGCAGCCACACGACCAGCUGCCACGUGUGUCCCACCUGCGAAGAAGGGCUCCACGCCGCCCUGGCCCCCCGCGCCGAGCCUGCGCCCCACGGCUGUGCCACCUGCGAGGAGUGGUUGGGUGCCCAGCCCCACGCACCCCGCUCCUACUCCGUCCCCAGCAUCGGCAGCGGGGACGGCCGGAGCCCUGCAGGGACCAGCUCUCCUCCCAAAACUGCAGAUGUGCUGAUGGGUGAGGAUGCAGGAGAAGCUGUUCCAGAGCAGAGCGAUGCCAAGCAACCCAUGGACCAUGAAAGCAGCCACCGCUGCCCCGUCUGCGAGGACUGGCUGCGCGCACACCUCAGCCCCUGGGAAAGGGGUCCUGCAGCGCCCGGGGAGCAGCUGGGGGGUCCCCACCAGCAGGACGAGGGGUGCGUACGGCGCGGCCGGGGCAGGCAGCUCCCCACAGCAGCGGGUACCACAGCCCAGCCCCCUCAAAACCAGGAUUUAAUCGCUUAAAUGAUGCAGGGGGGGGAGUACAUAAUGUUGGUUGCGCUUGCUCGUAGCGCGGUGUGGGGGUAAAGCGGGGUGCCUGCUCGCAAAGAGAGGGGUGAAACUGGUGGGAGGGUUAUUUGGGCACCGCUGGUGUGGUUUCCCCAGGCGUCUCUGAAGCAGCUUGUGCUCCUCAGCCCUCCCCACUUGGCUCUGCCUCCUGUCUUCUUUGAUGGAGCUCUGGUUUUAAUUGAGCAGCAAAGAGCCUGGUGCUGUAUGAGCCCCAGCAGCGCGGACCUUCUGUUCACGUCGCUGCUUUUUCCGCCUCUAGGCGUUGGUUUGGGGCAGAGCAGGGACGAGGUGAGACAAGUGACGCUGGACGCUCACUGAUCUUUUGACACCUGCCUGCCUUGUGCUCUCUCAGGCCCACAGAACUUCCUUAACACAGUCAUCAUUGGCAGAGGCAAAUUCAAAUAAAUAUUUUGUUAAAGUAAACGAGGUCUGAGGU
RNAcentral lists this long non-coding RNA (1075 nucleotides) under Calidris pygmaea (Spoon-billed sandpiper). RNAcentral's name for it is "lncRNA (ENSCPGG00000018841.1)". The record is from RNAcentral. Lineage: Eukaryota; Metazoa; Chordata; Aves; Charadriiformes; Scolopacidae.